GAUGAAGAACGUAGCGAAAUGCGAUAAGUAAUGUGAAUUGCAGAAUUCAGUGAAUCAUCGAAUCUUUGAACGCACAUUGCACUCAUUAGUAUUCUAGUGAGUAUGCCUGUUCGAGCGUCAUUUCAACCCUUAAGCCUAGCUUAGUGUUGGGACUCUACCCUAACCGGUAGUUCCCCAAAAUCAGUUGGCGGAGUUCAGUCGGCUCUGAGUGUAGUAAUUUUCUCUCGCUUUAGAAGUCUUCUGGAUUACGGCCAGAAAGAGACGAGUCUCGCAUCUCGGUGCGUUUCUCAACUUUUUUUACAAUGGUUGACCUCGGAUCAGGUAGGAAUACCCGCUGAACUUAAGCAUAUCAAUAAGCGGAGGA
This 364-nucleotide unclassified non-coding RNA is filed under the name soil metagenome. Its description in RNAcentral is "partial contains 5.8S ribosomal RNA, internal transcribed spacer 2, and large subunit ribosomal RNA". The stretch from base 1 to 120 matches the Rfam family "5.8S ribosomal RNA", at positions 35 to 154 of the family's 154-position model. The record is from RNAcentral.